UUAAUUUUAAGUGAGUUAAACCAUGUAACCCAGUUACAGGAAAAGACGACAGGAGGUUGGACGAUAGGUCCCUGCAAAACAUCAAACAACAAUUGGCUUUUAGUCUGUGUUAGCAGAAAGCGUCCAUGUUGAAAAAAAGCAACUUAAAGAUUAUUAAACUCCUCCAUAAAAACUUCUUAGCAGGGUCUGUACCCUCCAUGGUAAAAAUAACCAUUGUGGGUUUAGCUACUGAUAACAUGUCUAUUUACAAUCAGAAUUGCAGGGGGAAUAUGUCCUAAUUGCAUCCAAAUUGUAAUUUCUAUAAUAAGCUGUAUUUUACCAGGUGGGGACAUCAAAAAUCCAUAGAAGGCGCUACACUUAAUUUGAAAAGAGAUGUUGACUGGAAUAAGUUAGGGAUGAGGGGGAAGAUGCUGUCAGGUUUAUUCCCUAUCCUCCCCUUAACUUCUGUCUGACUAGCUCCUUCUUUCUCUGCUAGCCACUGGAGAGGGGUGAGGAAAGGGUUCAGAGGCCCAGAGGGGAGGAAACGCGGGACAGGAAAGUUUUCUCUUAGGAUGGCAAAUAUAAAACGAAAGCCCUUUGGGACUGAAAUGACAUCUUAUUCCACCCCACCUGACUGCUCGGCGAAAGUGGAAAAUUUCACUUCAAUAAGCAGAACAGCUGUCACCCAGCUCUUCAAAUACGCAGUCAGGGCCCACAUGGCCUUGGAGGGGCAGCGUUCCUCCCUGGUCUGACUUCACUCGAGUGUGGAGAGAACUAAGGGCUGGGCAAUCUGUGUGUGGCGGUUUCUUCAGCAACACCGACAUUUGUGAGGAAGUUAAGUGGCCCCCAAUUUCUUAAAAUAUGCCAUAAACAAGUCAUGAGAUACUCACAGCUUUCUCAGAGAUGGCAAAGUGGAAAAGGCAUUGGGAUGAAUAACGGCAAUUUUGUUCCAAGCCAAAUUCCUAUUUAAAAAAAGAAUACAUAUACAAGGCAAAUGAGAGGAUGAUAUUUUAAAAAGAUGGUGUGAAGUUUUACCAUAUAUAUUCAUUCUCUUACCAAAAUUUAGCUUCCAUUCAGGGCAAAACAAUUAGUUGAUCACAUCAGAUAAAGAUAUCAGUAGUAAAAAUGACUAAAGAACGGACUUGAAAUCAAUCUUGUUUUAAAUCAAUCAAGGAGAAAUCAUUCAGGUGGAUAUUUUAGAUUUUAUUCUCUGUGAAAAAGGUGACUUGAACAUGCUUGUAAAAUUUUAUUAGGGUGUCUCUGAGGUGAGUAGGGAUAGAGGAGCAGUAAGACAGGAACUUCUGAGGCUCUUCCACUGACAAGCAAGUAAAUGUGAAGUAGAUAAAAUGUCCCUGGAAAUGUAAUGAAAUGCAGCAACACUUUGUGUACAUUGUCAGAUAUGUCAGGCUUUAAGAGAAACACAGAAGUUUUUUUUUUUUUUUUAAUGUUUAUUUAUUCUGAGAAACAGAGAGAGAGUGAGCAGGGGAGGGGCAGAGAGAGAGGGAGAGAGAGAAUCCCAAGCAGGCUCUGUGCUGUUAGUGCAGAGCCCAACAUGGGGCUUGAACUCAAGAACCAUGAGAUCAUGACUUGAGCCAUAGGUCAUGACCUGAGCUGUAGUAAGAUGCUUACUCAACUGAGCCACACAGGCCCCACACAGAGAAGGUUUUUUUUUUUUUUUUUUUUUUUUUUUAUAAGGGGCACCUGGGUGGCUCAGUUGGUUAAGCAUCCGACUUUGGCUCAGGUCACGAUCUCUUGGUUCAUGAGUUUGAGCCCUGUGUUGGGCUCCAGGCUGACAGCUCAGAGCCUGGAGCUUGCUUUGGAUUUGGUGUGUCCCUCUCUCUAUGCCCCUCCCCUUUUCACGCUCUGUCUCUCUCUCUCUCUCUUUCUCAAAAAUAAAUAAACAUUAAAAAAUAAAUAAAUUCCCAGUAAAGGAGAUGUACAUUUAAAUUCUUAGCUGCAAAAUAAAUAUAAAAGGGUGCUAAUAUGUUGGAAAUAAAAUCCUUUGAUAAAAGAAAACCUACAAUUUAUGGAGAAAUAAAAUUCACUAAACAGAUACACACAUGCACACGCAUACACACUGAAAUGUAGGUGAUUCAGCAGGAAUAAGAACUUCCACAUUUCAAAAAAGAAACAAUGAACUUAAAACUUGUAUUUUUAAAAUGCCUAACUAAUAAGUAUAACUAAGGUAUAGACAUUUGAGGAAACUGAAAGUGAUCACUGUCAACUUCUCUAGCACAAAUGAGUGAUUUAUUUAUGGUACUGAGCCUCUUGAAUUAUCUUGGAUAAAUGGUAUUCGAAGAACAUUUAUAUUCCUUUGAAAGUCUCCCUAAACUGGGUGAAACUGGAAGGCUUUUUAUUUUGAUCCAUUCCUGCUGCCAGAACAGAAAAAAAUUUUGGCUAACAAGGGGAGGAUAUGGUAGGGAAGCAGUGGGGGAGCCACAUUUGGGGGUUGGGUAAUUGAGUGAGGACACAGUCUUCUCCUGAGCUGCUCAUAAAACUUAUGUCUGGUGAGGGAAGCAAGUCAUGCCAUCUGUCAAAGUCUCUGGUGGCUGUGAGUAGAACAUGGGUGCCCAGGGAGCUUCACAGAGAGGAAUUAUCAGGAAUAUAGGCCAAGUCCUGCCAUGGGGCUUUAUAGCAAUUUGACUGGAUUUAAAACAAAUAUGGGAGAAUUUGUAUGUUCAAAGGACUGUAAUUCCACUUGUGUUGGUAUGUCUGUGUGCUGGAAUGUUCGCAGCAGCCCCGGGAGGAGCCACUUCCACUCUCCUACCCUGUUCUGUGCCUGGGGCUGACCCUGCAGGCCACGUGCCCAGGGGCUCCCUACUGUCUGCAGUCAGAAGCCCAGGAGAGACAACUUGGGCACCUGUGCUCCUUCUCUGUUUUGGAAUCUUGUCUGGUGGCAGCUGCACGUUUCUCAACCACAGCAUCCCUUCUCUGUGCCUGUGUUCCGUUAGCCUCAGUCUUGGCCAUGUUGUUGGUUCCCGAAAGCCCAUCCCUUGCUUACUCCCCACCAACACCUAUGCAAAUGUCUCUUCAUUUGCACCAUUUCCUGCCAAGACCCUUACUGAUACAUCUUAAGAGGAUAUAUACUUGUAAUAAUGAUAACAACAAACACCAUCAUGAUACUAUUGCAUAUUUACCAUGUGCCAGGUUGGGUUAUGAGUUGUUUUUUCACAUGUAUUGUCUCAUAACCCUUAACACAACUCUAAGAGGUAGGUAUUGUCAUUAGCCCCAUUUUACUGGUGUGAAGAGAGGCACAGAGUAUUAAGUGACUUGCUCAAAGUCACAGAAUAAUCUCAGGAGCUGGGAUUCAAACUCAAGCUAACUGACAUCAGAGAACCUGAUGAUGUUUCGCUUGGAAUAUGUUUGGAAUUCUUAAGUAAAUAAUGAGAGCCACUGCACCUGACCCUGGGGAUAAGAAGAUAAAAGAGUUCUUGUCAUUUGGGGGCCAGGGCAUAGUCUACCCGUGGCAGAGCUGAGUGUUGAGUCCCGUAGCAGAGAACGUGCAAAGUGCAUCAGAGUGGAGUGGGCUCGCAGAUCUUGUUCUUGUGGCAUGGGCAGGGGACGAGUCAAGGGUGGAGAGGAAUCCGAUGGGCAACAGGAAUAGGGGAAAUGGCCACCAUGUGUCAGGGGACUGGAAUGCCUGGGUAAGAGUCAGGAGGUUGGAGUCAGAUUUUGAAGGUGGUGCUGGGAAGUCUGGUGUGGAUUUGAAGACAAUAGGGGACUAAAAAGAUUCUUGAAGCAGGGAAAGUACCAUGAUUAGACUUCUGUUUGAGAAAGAUUCUCUUUAGAGAAUGGGAUGGAUGAGUGGAGACCAAUGAUGGGCCAGUGGCAGAAAAGCAGCUGAACUGGAGUUGGCAGAGUUGGGUGAGUGAUGGAUGUGAGGUCUAAGGGGCUGGAAGAAUUCAGCGACACUCAUACAUGUAGCCUUCAGGAUCCCAUUCUUUUGCUAUCGUUAGAGAUCAGUCUUCUAUUUCAUGUGCAUAUGAAAAAAACAUUUUUUUUUUUGAUGAGAACAUUUAAGUUCUACUCUAUUAGCAAAUUCAAUGACAUAAUAGAGUGUUAUCAACUGUUUCAGCCUUUUAAAAUGGAACUGACCUUUGGAAACAGCCAGAACUCCAAUUGGAUGAAAAAGGCAGGUAAUGAAAGGAGGUAAUGUAUUUUUUGUUUUACAUUUAUUUAAAAAAAAGUAGAAGAACUUCACAAGCUGAUAUAAAACAAAUGGGAAGGGCAACAUACUUAAAUUCAGAACGAGAUAGUUUUCAAGGUAAAUUUUUAGAAGAUGAUUCUUAAAGGUAAAUUUAAAAUGUUUUGAGGAAUAGUAUUAUUUUACAAGGAUAUAGUCUCUUAAGUAUUCAGAAAAACUUUAGGGGGCGCCUGGGUGGCUCAGUCGGUUAAGCCUCCGACUUUGGCUCAGGUCAUGAUCUCAUGGCUCCUGAGUUCGAGCCCCACAUCUGUGCUGACAGCUCGGAGACUGGAGCCUGCUUUAGAUUCUGUCUCCCAAUCUUUCUGCCCCUCCCCCACUCAUGCUCUGACUCUCUCUCUCUCUCUCUCUCUCUCAAAAAUAAACAUUAAAAAAAAAAGAAAAAAGAAAAACCUUAGGGAAAAAGGGGGUUUUAUCAAAAUAUACUGAGUUUAAACAUUCUAUAUUGUCAUUAUUCAUCAAAACUACAUUGAAACUCAGUUUGGAGGUGAAAAAGACUUAACUGACACAGAAAACAAUCUGUUACCAAGGUUUCCUUUUUUAAGUUUAUGGUUAAUACAUGGUGUUUUCAUUCAUAAAAUGGAAUUAGAUACUGUAUUUACAAUUCUUACUCAUCUGAUCAACAGAAGCCUUUCCAGGGCAGUUGUGCUCAAACCUUAGGGUACUUGUUAAAAAGCAGAUCGUCGGGACCCACCUGAACCACCUCAGAGAUUCUAACUCAUGAGGCAGGUAAGGACCUGGAACCUGCAUUCUUGACGGUGGCCCCAUGACGGCUCUUAAGCACUUUGAGACACAUCUUGAAAACUGUUUCCCCAGGAAAAAAGAAUGGGCAGGAAGUAUUGUGUGGUCAUCCCAUUUCCGUGUGGAAAUCCCUACCAAUUCCAGGCUGCUGACAGAAACGCAUUUCGUAGGUGAUUCAACAGCUUGGCCUCCUUCCUCUUCAUUCAAGUUUCAUAUCAGAGAGCAGACUGCAAAUUUACUACUUUUGAAUAUACUCCUGGAAAUUAUCACGAGCAGGAUACUUGCCCUUUGAUGGCAAAUACAGGCACGAAAGCCCAACAAUUCCAGUGUCCAGUGGAAAGAAAACAUUGGGGAAGACCCGAAAGAGAAAGAAAGCGCUCUGUGUUGGGAAAGGCGCUGGCAGGCAGUACUCACAGAGCUCGGAGGCUGAGCAACUGCUGGAAAGUGUCAACUUUAAUUUCAAAGAUUUCAUUAUGUCGCAGGUCUCUGAAACGACAGAGUUCCAAAGAUUGAUUUCAAAGUCACUGGUUUCAAAGAUUAGUUUUCGGAGUACUUCUACAGAAGGAUUACCUGCCCUCAAUCAAAGGAACACAUGAAAUAUGAGUGUCAAGUGACUGAUUAAAAAUUUUUUGUUUUGUUUAAAGAAGACCAUUCCAAUUUAUACACUUAAGCGUUGCCGCUCUUUCAGAGCAACGAGUUCUUUCGGGUGGAUGUAAAACUAUAUUCCAAAUGCCAUCAUCAUUCAAUCACUUGGUGCCUGCUGGCUCUGCCUUGUGAGUCAUUCUAGUAUUCUUUGGGGGUCUUCAAGAGAGUCAAAUCCUUACCUUUUAAAGACGGAUUUGUCUUUCUUUUUCUCUCUUAAUCACCCAAAGGCAUUCAGGGAAAAAUUAAGUGGGAAAAGACCGAUGGUUAAUAUUGUUUUUUUUUUUUUUAAGUUUAUUUACUUAUUUUGAGAAAGACUGAGAGGGUGGGGGAGGGGCAGAGAGAGAGGGAAAGAAAGAAGAGAGAGAGAAUCCCAAGCAGGGCUGUCACUGUCAGCACAGAGCCCGACGGGGGCUCCGUCACGCAAAAACCAUGAGAUCAUGACCUGAGUGGAAACCAUGAGCACCCAGGCACCCCAGAUGGUUAAUAUUGUUUUGAUCAAAACCGAAGUAUGUCUAUAAAGCAAUAAUGCUGGGGCGCCCGGGUGGCUCAGUCGGUUAAGCAUCCAACUCUUGGUUUGGACUCAGGUCAUGAUCUCCCGGUCCUGAGAACAAGCUCCUCAUCGGGCUCUGGCUGACAGCGCAGAGCCUGCUCGAGAUUUUCUCUCUCCCUCUCUCUGCCCCUCUCUGACUCUGCGUGCACUUUCUCCCUCUCUCGAAAAAAUAAAUAAAUAAACAUGAAAAAAAGCAAUAAGGCUGAUCCUUUGUAGAGGAGGCAAGAAGGUUAGCAUGUUUCAUGUGUAAGUAGCAUCCAUGGCACCUCAAAUAUGACAGACAAAUAGGGCACCUCCUCUAAGGAUGACUAUGUGGAACCAACACCCCAACAAACCCAAGUCCUUCCUGUAUUUGAAAGUAACGUCACUCACUGGAUAUAUAAGUUUAGAAAAAUUCCAAAGCUCAAAUAAACUCAGUUCUUAUAUCACCAAGUUUGGGGGAAGAAAGAAAAAAAGCAUAAUAAAUGCUUUACUUACAGUACAAUGCAUAGAAAAAUAAUAUUAUCUGUGUUUCCCAACUUAAUAGGCAUCCUACACAGUCACACCAUGCGUGUAUAAGAAGGGAAAAGCACCAAAUGCCUCCCCAGCGACCUGCAGAGCAAGCAAACCAAUGACCCCUGGAAAAGAGCUGCUAUAUCUCUACAGCUAAGAGAAUCAUUGUUGGUUCUUUUCUAAUCAGCUAAAAAAAAAAUCCAACAACAAGUCAAAACAUAGCACUAACUUUGAAAUCAAUCACUACAAGGGGGAAAAAAAAUCUAAGAAAGUCUUCAGCCAAAACUCAACAAAUUACAGAAUAACAAAAACAUCUGGACAUAUUUAUAGUAUAAUAUAACUAAUCUAAAACAAGCCAUGGUAAUUUGCAGAAAGCUUAAAAAAAGAAAGCUGGUAGAUAAAGUAACAUAGAUAUUUUAAAAAAAUCUUGUCUCAUGUUUUAAAAGUUAUCGGCUAAUCAACUAACACACUUUCAUGCCUGAUUCUAAUUCUUAAAACCAGAUCGCCACCAUGGAACUGAAAAAUCCAUACUGUUUUCUAAGAGGCUUUUAAAUUAUCUUGUUCUUGUAAUUGAUCACUUUUUUCUACAUUUAGUGAAUAAAUGGAAUUCAUAUAGAAAUACAGUUCAGUUACCACACACAAAUAAUGCAAAUGAAGCUGUUUGCAAACACAAGUUUGUAGUUUAUACUACAGGCUUGAAAGACCAAACUAAACCAAACAAAAUAUGAAAAAACCCAAAACCAUACCCCACACCUACGCACAAAUACACCUGGUUAAAAAUUCUGUGUAUAUUUUUAAAAAGUAGUAAAUGUGAUAAAAUGGACAUACAUUUCAUCAAAGCUGAUAAUAAUUUGGUUCGCUCAUCUCCACACACUGCAAGGAGACAAAUCCUUCCUGUGCACCUCCUUAGUAGAGGAUACAUAAAACCUUCUUCCACGUAAAGACCCAGUGUCACCUUCUACCUACCUUCUACCUAAUGAUUUUCAUGGCUAACAUUGAUGAAGCACUUCUUAAAUAUAGACACCAUGUUUACAGCUUUACCUAAAUUAUUUCAUUUGACCUGUGGUCACCUUGUGAGGGAGACACUGAUUAUCACCAUACAAUGUGAAAUAAUUUGCCUAAGAUCACCAGCUACUUAGUGGGGAAAGCCACACACAGCCAGGGAAUUCCCAUGGAGGUGAGGCAACUUGGGGGCAGUUUCUUCAUGUACAGGUACUCAGUGGAUGAUUCAGCCAAAGGGUGGAAGCUCGCAGACCUAUGUUUCCAGAACAUAAAGUAGACUGUAGUAGAGGUAGGGACCCUGAGUCCUAUUCUCAGCCUCAACUUGGAUUCUUCAACUUCGUCAAUAUGUUGGUCAAAGCAUUAUACCUUUUUUAGUUCUCUCCUUAAAUGAGAAGAUACCUGCUGAUCUUGCAGUGUUGUGAAGAACAAAUCAAAAUUACAGGUUGAAGUGCUUUGAAAAUGACAAGCUUCUGUGGUUAAUGGAUUUGUAUUCUUUCAGACCUUUCAAGUUUCAGCUUGAGGAAAGAAUAGCUUGAAGAAAGAAUAAUGGUUUAAGGGAAAUGAGAAAGAAGUUGAUAAGAGCUAACACUGCCUGAGAGUUUACGAUGUUCCAGUGCUGGUAUAAGUGUCUGACAUGUAGUAAUUCAUUUAAUCCUCAUGAUGAUCCUCUGAAGGAAAUGGCUAUGUCUCUAUUUUAUAGACUGGGAAAUGGAACCCCAGAAGGGAUAAAUAACUUGCUCAAGAUCUCUUGCUGGUGUAUAGAGAGACGGGAUUUGAACCAGAAAAACAGACCAGGGACUUUGCUCUUAGCCAAUUUAUGCAAUUCUAGACCUGGGUGGUUUACCAUUUGCUAUGUGACAUAGUGGAGACAGAUGCAGUUUAAAUGCUGGCUCCUUAAGUAUUAGCUAUAGCCUGUGAAAUCUUAGUCAUGUUAUUAAGCCAGUUUCCUUGAGAAAUGAGGGUAAUUAUGCCAUUUUGGGUGGGUAGGCAGAAUUCUAAAAUGGCCCCUAAGAUUUCCACUACCUGGUGUUCAUGCACUCUCUCCUGGUAUUCAAUCAAACUGCCUGUAUUUGAAUUUGGACUCUGCUACUUUCUUGCUGUGUGACUUUGACAAAUGUGCUUAACUGUCCUAAUUCUCAGCUUCCUCAUCUGUAUCUACACCUCAGAGGGCGAUGUGGGAGAAGAGGAGGAGACUUACUCUAUGUUCCCUCCCUUUACACACAAAUGACUGACUCCAAGGCUGUCACGUGGUGUUACUACAAUCUCCUAUCACUGAACAACUGAAGUCUGAAGUGGCUAGGGGGCUGGGGAGAGGGGAAGGCAGAAUCAUUAUGGCAGACAUUCCCAUUCUUCCCCUUACACUUGUAGUGCUGCUUGUACCUCUGCUACUGGGUGAAGCCUGUGGUGGAAUUAGAGGCAUUCAACUGACACAGAUGUCUCCUCUGUGAGAACACAGCCAUGACUGGAGACUAAGGGUCCAUUCAUUAAGUUCCCACAAUGCAUGAGAGGAUGGUAAUAGGGUUGGGAGUUGAGGGGAAGGGCUGAAAAUGGAAGGUCAAAACAAAGCUCUUCAAAUUCCUAUAAACUACUUUUCAGAAAGGGAAAGGCAGAGGAAAAAAAACCAACAACCCAAGUCAACAGAAAUAAUAAAUGCAAGCUGUUUAACCAUUAGUGGAAACAUUAGAACAUGGCACCCACAACUAUACCGGAAGAAUGUUUGGUCACCUUUAUCAAGGAUGGAAAAAUCAAAAAGAACUAUGGCCACUUACAUUGUAAUAAGAGAAGGAUUGCCUACAAAUGCUUUCUCAGGACUGGAAGGUGCUUUGCAUUGCUAAGAUAUCAUGCCCAGCCCUGUGUGGAUAAGGGAGAAGUUCUAAUUUUACCAAGCAGCUCAUGGGAAUGGCUUGCUUAUGCCAUGAAAUUGACUUCAAAGUCCUGGAUAAGUUCAUCUUUGGCAUCUCCUUAUGAGGAUGGUUCCUCUCUUCUAAGAGGAGGCACAGGGUGAUUUAAGUAACCCUGGAAAGAGAGCGUGAGCACUCAUUGACCUGGAGAAGACCACUAACAACAGAUGGUCCCUCAGGAAAUCACCAGACCCAGACCUGGUUCGAAGCUAAACCGACCAUGUACGAAUGCUAAGCUCUGUAUUCAAAUAAAUAAUGGGCUCCAAGGCCACAGAAGAGAUGGUCUUUGGUAUCUCUUGGGUCAGAGCCAACAUUAUAGAUUCAGGCCCUGUGUGACUUACUGUAUUUGAAUAUUAAAAAUAUGGGAGUGAGAGGGGGCACAAAUGGAAGCAUGCCCUUUCUUCCAGAACACUCAGGACCCUCACUGCCUGUCACCUUACCCUCAUUAUACCUCUCUCACUCAGCUAGGGCAAUGAGUAGCAGCUCUUCCCCUGGGAAACGGCUGGAGCCUGGUGAGGUCAAUGAGAAUUCUUCUCACCGUGCCUCUGGGAAAGGCUCUUGGCGGUCAGCUGGCUGGACUCUAUUUUUAUUAUAGGUACCAAUUCAGAACUGAACUUUUGACCUAUUCUUUGGAAGCAGUGUAUACUGGUAAGCAUGGACUUCAGACUCAAACUAGGGAAGAAGCAAAUCCCAGCUAUGCUACUGACUAGAUAUGUCAUGUUCGUAAAAUAACUUAACCUGACUAGAGCAGAAAGUGGGACAGUGAUGGCUGCUCUCCUCAGAUGGCUGUUAAAUGAAACAAUGUGUGCCAACACGCAGUGCAAUAUUUGGUUAUAGAUAUGCCCAAGAAAUGGUAGCUGUUAUUAUUUUUUAGUUUUUUGAAUUGCUUUAGUGUGAACCUUUGUGGUUUGUUAAUGAGACACCUGUUCAUCUCAGAUUAGAGAGUCCUGGCAUUUGCCUGGUCGGUGUCCUCUCAUUGGGGGCAGUGGUGGCGGGGGCGCGGAGCAGGGAGUGCAGGCUAGACUCAUGAAUAGUGAGCCUGAGUGACAGUAUAGAAUUGAUCCUUG
Molecule: long non-coding RNA, 10578 nt
Organism: Panthera uncia (snow leopard)
Lineage: Eukaryota; Metazoa; Chordata; Mammalia; Carnivora; Felidae
Exons: 4
Source: RefSeq, a predicted model, not a curated record